GGGGGUGUAACUCAGUGGUAGAGCACUUGCCUCACACACUCAAGGCCCUGGGUUAGAUCCCCAGUGUCACCA
Molecule: transfer RNA, 72 nt
Filed under: Marmota monax (woodchuck)
Lineage: Eukaryota; Metazoa; Chordata; Mammalia; Rodentia; Sciuridae
Also listed under: 2 other names
Rfam family: tRNA
About the family: Transfer RNA (tRNA) molecules are approximately 80 nucleotides in length. Their secondary structure includes four short double-helical elements and three loops (D, anti-codon, and T loops). Further hydrogen bonds mediate the characteristic L-shaped molecular structure. tRNAs have two regions of fundamental functional importance: the anti-codon, which is responsible for specific mRNA codon recognition, and the 3' end, to which the tRNAs corresponding amino acid is attached (by aminoacyl-tRNA synthetases). tRNAs cope with the degeneracy of the genetic code in two manners: having more than one tRNA (with a specific anti-codon) for a particular amino acid; and 'wobble' base-pairing, i.e. permitting non-standard base-pairing at the 3rd anti-codon position.
Source: Rfam by way of RNAcentral